GGUGACCAACAUAUCCGAAUUUCACCCAGAUCGGAUCAGGGGUUCGCAAAAAACUAUGGAGGUCUUCUGUGACCGGCUUAACCUGGGCUAUAUGCCCAAAACAGUUCCAUGAGUUUGGUGGGUUUUGCCGGUCACUUUAGAAAGAGGAGAAAAACGAACAAACUACCGAAUGGAUCCCCCUGGCUCUUAGCAGCGAUCGUUCCCCUCUGUCGAAUGCACCAA
Non-coding RNA from Pelobates cultripes (western spadefoot toad), 222 nucleotides. The record is from the annotation of a GenBank genome assembly. NCBI's taxonomy places the organism in Eukaryota, Metazoa, Chordata, Amphibia, Anura, Pelobatidae.